GUGUUUGCUUCAGCAGCAUAUAUACUAAAAAUUAGAAUGAUACAGAGUGGAUCAGCAAGACCUCUAUACAAGGAUGACAUGCAAAUUCAUGAAGCAUUCCAGAAUUCU
Small nuclear RNA from Octodon degus (degu), 108 nucleotides. The record is from Ensembl. NCBI's taxonomy places the organism in Eukaryota, Metazoa, Chordata, Mammalia, Rodentia, Octodontidae.